UCCACAUGCACCGCUAAGCUUACGAUGAGGGAUCAAGUUUAGCUCUUCUAUUACAUCCAUUUAGCAAGCGCCAACGUUCUGCCUCUACGACCUAGUAUCCCACCCCAGAUUGACCCUGGGCCAUUUCCUGUGGAAUGUUACAACCCAGCGAAACGCUGAUAACAACAGGUUACGUUGGGACUUUUAAAACACCAGAGCAAGUAAACACAGCCAUCUAUGGAGGGCCAACAUUUAGAUAUUUGUUUUUGUUAUGUUGAACAUAAAAGAAGAAGAAGAAAAUCUAAAUGAGAACUACUUUGAAUAAGAUACAUAGAUCAAUGAAAAUAAGAAAAUAAACAAGCAAAUGCAUGAGAGGGACAGAAAUGUAGUCUUUUAGCAGAUCUUAUCCAGAGUAACUUAAAGUAAAGGCUGGUUUAUACUCUGUCUGGCGACAGUCACUGCAACCAGCAACAUUGCCGGUCGCAGUAACAUAAUUCAGGGUUUAGUUUAUAAUUCAUGAAUGAAAUAUAUUUUCAAUAAAACAGCGACCAUAGUCAAAGGUCGGGCAACAUUAGAAUGUUCAUGAACAUUCUGUGAUUUCAGUCACGCGAUGGAGUAUAAACCAGCCUGCAACCAUCUCUGGAUGCAGCAGUUUGGCUUCAAACUUACAGAAGGAGAGGCAUAAGACAUCCUACAUAAGACAGAAGAUUCCGCUCUUAUCUUAUUAUGAUAGCACCUAGGAUUUAGAUCAACCCAUCUCUCUCUCUCUGCCUCACUUCUCUCUGACUCUCUUUCUCUGUCUUUCUCUUUCAAUAUCUCUCUCUCUCUCUCUCUCUCUCUCUCUCUCUCUCUCUCUCUCUCUCUCUCUCUACAAAACAUACAUUUUAUGUACAUUAAUAUGCAGCAGUAAAACAUUAAUACAAUAACGCAUUUUUGUCAUUUCAUGCCACUGUAUAGAAUUUCCAAUAAUGCUAAACUACUCCUCUUGCCUUCACUAUUCCAUUUACUCUUUGCCCCUUAAUUGCAGGACACAUUUCCAGUGGAAACAGUAUCCCCUACAUCACAAGGUCCUUUGUUAGGGAAACACUCUCAUUUUCCAAUCUUUAUAAUCCAAAAGAAUCCUCACUAUCCGAUUUGUUGUGCUCUGGUUAACAAUAACUAAAUUGUUUUAGUGGCUCCUUGGUGAACCUGAACCAAAGGAUGGGCUAUAAAAGUAUGGAGUGUUCCGGAAUACUGGACAGAUGGACAGUAGUAACCCAAAUGAUUAAAUAGUGCAAGGGAGAAAUACAAAACACCCUGUGCAAAACUACUUUAUUACAAUAUUAUCUUGUUUUUAGUUCAUGUUUGCUUGAAAAGAAACAUUUUCUUAUUCCACAAGUCAAAUUGUCUUACCUCACUGGCAUUAUUUUUGUCUUAUUGUGUAAAAGAAAAAUAUAAAAGAAAUAUGAUAUUAAGCAAAAUUAUUGUACAUUUUUGGGUGUAAAUGGGUUUGCAGUCUUCUUGUAUGUUUUAGAUAAACUUGGAAAAGGAUUGUAAGUGCAUGAACUAACAUGAAAAUAAUUUGUUCAAUCAAUUAUCCUUUUAGCUGUGACUGUCAAUCCCAAUGGAUUUGAAGAUGUAGCUAGAGAGGUAUCAAAGUGCUUCAAAAGGAAAUUGUUUUAUAGCAUAUCAUUUUUCAAUUUUUGUGACUACCUGAAGCAUAUCUUAGUCAAAUGUCUCAGGAGUAAAUGCUGCAGCUUACUCAUUCCAAACUGAAAACAUGAAAACAUUGUUUAUGUAAAAACAGCUAUUUUACUGAUAUUGUAAAUGAACAGCAGAACCAGAAAAAAUUAGCAUGGUUUAACCAAACUACUUAUUUUUCUAACCAUCUAAACCUUGGGCUAGAGUGAAGGUUGCGUUACGCAAUUUAAGCUGUUCUGAUUUGCGUGUGUGGUGUGAACGUCUAUAGGUACUGCAUUAUGGUGCGAAUGAAUCACUCUACAAAUUGCAAUGUGUAGCUAAAUGCAUGACACGAGAAGCAGCUCCCUGACCACAUGUUUUCAAAUCCAAAUAAAAUGUUGCAUAUUAUUUCUGCUUCCAAAGCCUUAAUGUAGGCCUAAUAAAAUCUGGCAUUGCCAACAUGUGCAAUGCCACAGCAAAAUGUUGCACCACCAAAUGUUUUGAUUGUGCCCCCAGUUGAAUAAGUUAGUCUGGAGCCCAGUUGCUGCAUAACCUAAUUAUGCUUCAGCUUCAGCACAUGAGCAAAUGACUGGACAUGCUCCCAAAGAAUCUCCCGGUAUGGAGAAUUAGCGGUUCCUUCAAAAUGCAGGUCUGGAGGCAGCAAAGCAUCCCCACACCAUCACACCACCACUGUUGGAAUGAUGUUUUUAAUGUGAAAUGCAGAAAUUGCUUUAUGUCGCACAUAAAAGGACACGUGUUGUCCACGAUAUUCCACUAUUGAGUCAUCUGUCCAUAUAGCAUUGAUGAUAUUCUAAAUGAACAGCACGGGGCAAAAUGAUCUUGACUAUAAAUCAUGUUUGGGGGUUUAACUCUUUGGCCAGGCACAGGUGAACAGAGGGAGCGGGCAGCAGUAAACGAAUGCUUCGCUUGGCUGUCUUCCAUCCUCCUCCAUGGCCACUGGAACAGGGGGGCGGGGCUUUGUCACAGGUAAUGUACAAAGUACUAAAGCUUCAGAGGCAUAACCCUGAGGCACAACACCAGAGGAGAUGGGGCUGCAUCUGGACAUGGCCGGGACUCUGCUUCUAAUGGUGCUUACCACCAGCGUCUGCACCCUGACAUCUCUGAGGACGGAGUCUUCAGAAGAGGAGUUAGGGAAGUUCACUGCGGGGGACAGCGUGGAGGACAGUGAGGGGGACAGUGACUCCGAGUCGGAGGAGCUACGGGAGCACGUUGGGGGUUUUUUCAUGGAUUUGAAUGGAGGGUCACAACCAGGGACAUACCAGGUAAGAUUCAGGAACUCAUAUUUAUUAUAUCAGUUUCUAAGCAAUAAUGGAC
Long non-coding RNA from Conger conger (European conger), 2973 nucleotides. RefSeq lists it as uncharacterized. The record is from RefSeq and is a predicted model, not a curated record. The transcript is spliced from 3 exons. NCBI's taxonomy places the organism in Eukaryota, Metazoa, Chordata, Actinopteri, Anguilliformes, Congridae.